This 1234-nucleotide long non-coding RNA is filed under the name Homo sapiens (human). RNAcentral describes it as "HSALNT0390559". Lineage: Eukaryota; Metazoa; Chordata; Mammalia; Primates; Hominidae. The record is from RNAcentral.
CCCCGCUGAACAAGGCCCCAACUUGCCCACGAGGAGAGGAGUCCAGAAGAGUGUCUCAGCCAUGGCUGCCCGGCCUGGCCCGCCCGGCCAAGCUGGGUGUCCCCUUAGCCCCUGCGUGCUUUCCUGGGCACAACACAAUCACACAGACUGCUCCAAGCUCCUCGAAGACUAGGAUCUUGUCACGUUUGUAUCCUUGGGCCUGGCACAGGGCCUGGUAACUAGUAGGUGUAGCUGGCUGGCGGCAGCUUCCUUAACAGCAAACGUAGGUGCCAUCCACCCAGCCUUUAUCCCCAGUCCAAGCACUUCAGCGUGGAGGUCUAGCAAGCCCUGGACAGGACCAGCCAGCUAGAGACAGAUUACAGGAGUAAGAGAGAAGAGGAGGGACUGUCCGAGGUGCCUCGGCACUAUGGCUGCACAGCUGGAUCUCUGGACACGGAGCCCUGGACCGUUUCCACCCAGACACUCCCAUUCCAUCAAGUGGGGGUGUGGACGUUUAUGCAAUUCUGGAAGGUCUCCUGGUGGGGACCCCUGGGAAAGAGACUAAUAAGAAAGCAUCCAGUUUCUUCGGUCUCUGACGUUGUUGUCUGCACAAGAGAGUUAAGGCAGCCAUCUUGGGACCAUGAGGGAGCCAGUCUAAGAGGCAAAUCAACACAAUGAGAGGGUGUUGGAAAAAGACAAAAAGAACCUGGUCCUUGAUGUCACAGCCAGGCCUCUGAAUUAACCACCCCCAGGACUUCUUGUUACGUGAGCUAAUAAACGUUCCUUUUUGCUUAAACCCCUUCUAGUUGGGCUUUCUGUUGUAACUUGCACCGAAAACUACAAUAGGAUAGCAAAGGAUAUGAACAUAAGUGAUUUGCCUAGAGGAAACCCACAUGGUCAAUGAGAAUAAGAUGCUCAGCCUCAUAGGCAGGGAAUGCAGCUUCAAAUGAGAUGCCACUUCAUGCCUAUCAGAUUGGCAAACAUAAGUCUAACAAGAGCAAAAGUUGGCAAGGAUGUGGUAAAACAGGAUGUCUUGUACAAACGCUGGUGGUGAGAGGAUCAAUUGGUUCAGACGCUGUAGAGAGCAGUUUGGCAGUACUAGUCAACUUCAAAGUGUGCCUGCCCGACAAUCCUAGCUUUCUAAGUAUAUGCCCUAAUAAUGGGUUCAGAGAAAAGUCCAAGCAUGUUCAUUGAAGCCCUGUUUAUAUAACAGCAAAACAGGCCCGGUGCAAUGGCUCAUGCCUGUAAUCCCAGC